Molecule: long non-coding RNA, 607 nt
Filed under: Olea europaea subsp. europaea
Lineage: Eukaryota; Viridiplantae; Streptophyta; Magnoliopsida; Lamiales; Oleaceae
Source: RNAcentral
UUCUUAUGGUUUGUCCUACUUAUUUUUUAGGUUGUACAAACUCUAUGAAGCUUGAACUAAGCCAAAUUGUUUUCUCGCAUUGGAGUUUUUUUCUAUCUUCAAGUCCCAGUUAUAGCGACGUGUCGUACUCCUCAUGCUUAGGUAGACUUUUCCAUCGUUACGUUUCUAGUUUCAAUCACGUUUAAGCGAUCUCAAACUUGGACUUUAAAAUCCAAUCAAUUUCUAUAUAUUAAAUCAAAUGUAAAUACAGCAGUCAACGUGCUCCUUUAAAAUCCUAUGAGCAAAUUGGUUCAUUAGUUACUCCAUUAGAUGACGGAUUAACCUCCGAUUUUUUAAACAUAUUGCACUAGUUUGUACAUUUUUAAACUUAUCGUAAGUUGCACUUGACAUCAUUUUGUAUGAAGAAAGGACCGUCCUCCGUGAAAGAGGGAACGGAGGGUAAUUGAGGCAUACAACUCUUAGCCGUUGUUUGAUUUUCAUUAAAUUACAUUACAUUACAUUCUAUUUUUCUCUCUCCUAUUUUCAACCACACAAUUUUUCAUAAAAUAAUAUUACACGUAAAUCAAAAAUUUUUCUUUCUUUUUCAACCACUCAUUUUUCAAAAAAC